Molecule: non-coding RNA, 94 nt
Organism: Peziza echinospora
Lineage: Eukaryota; Fungi; Ascomycota; Pezizomycetes; Pezizales; Pezizaceae
Source: the annotation of a GenBank genome assembly
GCCUGAUUGGCUCAAUGGUAGAGCGUCUCCCUCCUACUACAACGUUAAGUAUGGAAUUAGGAGAAGGUUGCGGGUUCGAUUCCCGUGUUAGGUU